GGAUCGCGUCGACGCCGGUGGUUCGCCGCCGGUGACGUUGUGAGAAGUUCAUUAAACCUUAUCAUUUAGAGGAAGGAGAAGUCGUAACAAGGUUUCCGUAGGUGAACCUGCGGAAGGAUCAUUG
RNAcentral lists this ribosomal RNA (124 nucleotides) under Frullania junghuhniana. RNAcentral describes it as "partial 18S ribosomal RNA". It matches the Rfam family "Eukaryotic small subunit ribosomal RNA", at positions 1712 to 1831 of the family's 1831-position model. The record is from RNAcentral. Lineage: Eukaryota; Viridiplantae; Streptophyta; Jungermanniopsida; Porellales; Frullaniaceae.